RNAcentral lists this long non-coding RNA (582 nucleotides) under Mus musculus (house mouse). RNAcentral's name for it is "long non-coding RNA chr9:35224695-35225277". The record is from RNAcentral. Lineage: Eukaryota; Metazoa; Chordata; Mammalia; Rodentia; Muridae.
CAUCUCUCCAUGGCCUCUGCAUCAGCUCUUGAUUCCUGACCUGCUGAGUUCUAGUCCUGACUUUCUUUGGUGAUGAACAGCAGUGUGGAAGUGUAAGCUGAAUAAAAGUCUUUCUUCCCCAACUUCCUUCUUGGUCAUGAUGUUUUGUGCAGGAAUAGAAACCCUAACUAAGACAAAUUGGUACCAGUAUAGCGAGGUAUUCCUGUGACAACCUGACCAUGUUUUGGGGAGAACUGUGGAAGGACUUUAGAACUUUGAGCUACAAGAGCCCUUGGGAUGUUAAGAGCUCUGUGGGAUGUUCUGUAGGAGCUUGGAAGAUAAUAUUGAAAACAGUACAGAAGACGGAGGCCUAGCUUGUGCAAUUUCAGAGGGAAGAUUAAAGACUCCUGGCUGUUAUUUUGAUUGUGAAGAUUCUGUGGUUUUGGUUAGCUGAGGCUGAAAAAUCAGCUAUGAUUAACAAGAUACCAGAACUACUAAAGUGAAACCUUUGCAUUACUGGGACUACUGAUGCUGGUUAGCUGGAGCUAAGAAAUUAGUGGUGGAAACCGUGUCUCCACCAAAAAAAAAAAAAAAGAAAGAAAG